RNAcentral lists this ribosomal RNA (520 nucleotides) under uncultured prokaryote. RNAcentral's name for it is "bacterial SSU rRNA". It matches the Rfam family "Bacterial small subunit ribosomal RNA", at positions 391 to 905 of the family's 1533-position model. The record is from RNAcentral.
ACGGUGCCUCGUUCCGUAAGACGGCCUUCGGGUUGUAAACUGCUUUCGUACGGAACGAACCGGUGAUCUCUAAUACAGAUUGCUAAUGACGGUACCGUAAGAAUAAGCACCGGCUAACUACGUGCCAGCAGCCGCGGUAAUACGUAGGGUGCGAGCGUUAAUCGGAAUUACUGGGCGUAAAGCGUGCGCAGGCGGUCUUGUAAGACAGACGUGAAAUCCCCGGGCUCAACCUGGGAAUGGCGUUUGUGACUGCAAGGUUGAAUUGCGGAAAAGGGGGAUGGAAUCCCGGUUGUACCAUUGAAAUGCUUAAAUUUUCGGAGGAACACCGAUGGCAAAGGCAAUCCCCUGGGCCUGCACUGACGCUCAUGCACAAAAGCUUGGGGAGCAAACAGGAUUAGAUACCCUGGUAUUCCACCCCCUAAACGAUGUCAACUGGUUGUGGGGUAUUUACUUACUCAGUAACGAACCUUACGCGUGACGUCGACCGACUGGGGAGUACGGCCGCAAGGUCAAAAUCAAA